This 105-nucleotide microRNA precursor is filed under the name Marmota monax (woodchuck). The record is from RNAcentral. Lineage: Eukaryota; Metazoa; Chordata; Mammalia; Rodentia; Sciuridae.
ACCGGAAUCACCAGGGAAUCUCAUUAAAAUGUAGAUUCUCAUUCAGUAGGUUUGAGGUGAGGCUUGAAAUUCUGCAAUUCUACCAAGCUCCCAGUUAAUGCUGAG